CUGCAGUCGAGCGGUAACGGGAAAGCUUGUUCUUGCCGAGCGGGGACGGGGAGAACGCGAGAAUCUGCCUAAAGGGGGACAACAUGUGGAACGCAUGUAUACCCUACCCCUUUUGGGAAAGGAGGGGAUCUUCACCUUCCCUAUUAAUGAGCUGCGGAGAUUACUAUGGGGGGAAAGGCUCGGGACAUCUCUACUGCUGAGAGGAGACCCACACUGGACUGAGACACGGCCACUCCUCGGAGGCAUGGGGAAUAUUGACAAUGGGGCAGCCUGAUCCCUGCCCGUGUGUGAAAAGCCUUAGGUGUAAAGACUUUCUGGGGAGGAAGGGCGUUGUUAAUACCCGACUUUGACGUUACCCCAAAAACACCCUACUCUGUGCCCACCCGGAAUAASAGGGGCGCGUUAAUCAAUUACUGGCGUAAAGCGCGCGAGUGGUUGUAAUCUGAUUGAAAUCCCGGUCCCUUGAAUGACCAUACUGAGGCUAAGACGUAAGRGGUGUGGAAUUUCCUGUGUACGUGAAUGCGUAAUAUAGAAGGAACAUCUGGGAAGCGACACCCUGACUGAACUGACACUGAGGUGCGAAAGCGUGGGAGCAACAGAUUAAUACCCUGUAGCCACGCCGAACGAUUCUACUACGYUGKGUUGUAAUGACUUAGGGGCAGCUACCACUAUAACCGCCUGGGGAGUACGCCGCGGUAAAACUCAUGAUUGCGGGGCCCGCACAGCGUGGAGCAUGUGGUUUAAUAGCAACCGCAGAACUACUACUCUUGAUCAGAACUUACAGAUGCUUUGGUGCUUCGGAACCUGAGACAGGCUGCAUGUCGUCAGCUCGGUGUGAAUGUAGUCCGUACGAGCGCCCUAUCCUGGCAGCACUGUGGAACUGCUAACCAUGGCUAGCUCCACACGU
This 907-nucleotide ribosomal RNA is filed under the name Marinomonas sp. t36a. RNAcentral describes it as "partial 16S ribosomal RNA". It matches the Rfam family "Bacterial small subunit ribosomal RNA", at positions 55 to 1158 of the family's 1533-position model. Lineage: Bacteria; Pseudomonadati; Pseudomonadota; Gammaproteobacteria; Oceanospirillales; Oceanospirillaceae. The record is from RNAcentral.